This 212-nucleotide unclassified non-coding RNA is filed under the name uncultured Suillus. RNAcentral's name for it is "sequence contains ITS1". Lineage: Eukaryota; Fungi; Basidiomycota; Agaricomycetes; Boletales; Suillaceae. The record is from RNAcentral.
AUGAUUGCGAAUAAUAAGGCGAGGGGAAAGGAGGGAGCUGUCGCUGGCCUUUCGCGAGGCAUGUGCACGCUUUCUUUAGAACCUUCGUCGUAUGGGCGCGGGGCGACCCGCGUCUUCAUAUACCUCUUCGUGUAGAAAGUCUUUGAAUGUUUUUUUAAAAUCAUCGAGUCGUGACUUCUAGGAGACGCGAUUCUUUGAGACAAAAGUUAUUA